RNAcentral lists this ribosomal RNA (301 nucleotides) under uncultured bacterium. RNAcentral describes it as "partial 16S ribosomal RNA". It matches the Rfam family "Archaeal small subunit ribosomal RNA", at positions 459 to 759 of the family's 1478-position model. The record is from RNAcentral.
CAGCAGCCGCGGUAAUACCAGCAGCCCAAGUGGUGGUCGCGAUUAUUGGGCCUAAAGCGCUCGUAGCCGGGCCGGUAAGUCCCUUGUGAAAUCGGACGGCCUAACCGUUCGGCGUGCAAGGGAUACUGUCGGUCUUGAGGCCGGGAGACGUCCGAGGUACUCCGGGGGUAGCGGUGAAAUGUUCUGAUCCUCGGGGGACCACCGGUGGCGAAGGCGUUCGACGAGAACGGGCCUGACGGUGAGGGGCGAAGGCUAGGGGAGCAAACGGGAUUAGAGACCCCUGUAGUCCUGUCUCUUAUAC